This 1577-nucleotide long non-coding RNA is filed under the name Sorghum bicolor (sorghum). Its description in RNAcentral is "long non-coding RNA (SBIC_LNC008572)". The record is from RNAcentral. Lineage: Eukaryota; Viridiplantae; Streptophyta; Magnoliopsida; Poales; Poaceae.
AGACUUUUGAUAAUUGAAAUACAGAACCCCUUUGUUCAGCUGUGUGCUAACAAAUCCAGAGAGUGAUCUCUACCCCUUUGCUCUUGUGAUUUCCUCGCGGGAUUACAUAGGUGGCGGCGCCAUCUGCUCCCAAUUGGUGCUCCUACUCCCUUCAAGGUAUUCCUUGAUUGAUUGUAGGCUAUGUUGGUUGGUUUCUUGAGAGUGUGGUUGGGCGAAUCCUCGAUUCAGGUUGCCGGUUAAAGACGGUGGUUGGCUUCGAGUUUUAUUUAACAGGUUGCACUAGUUAUCGCUGCUUGCAGCAAGUUAUUCGGCUGUUCUUCAGCUAGUUAUCGGUGUGCAUCCUAUGUCGUGAAGAUCAGGAUAACGUGACGCUUCAUCUGGUAUCAAAGCUUUUGUUACCACGGUAGGAAUUUUAUCCCUAGCUACAUAUAUAUUUUUGCUUGGUCCUAUCCACCAAAAAGCCAGAAAAAUAUAUUGCUUAGACCUUUCUUUCAAUCUGUUAUUUUAGUGAGUUUGGUUAAGUCGCAGUCCAUUAGAGUCUUUGUUUUAGUUGCUGAUCAUUUAUCCUUCGCGUGUUCUUUGUGCCUCUUUUAUAUCUAAAAGUCCCCACAAAAAAAUCUCUAUAGCCUAUAUCAUCCUUUGUGUUAACUUUGAUCCUAUCUAGCUUCUGGUAGUUGUUUUAUUUCAGUCUUUAGUUGUGCAAGUGUCAAUCUGAUCCUGUGUUUAGUUCUAUAUAAAAAAAAAGUGUGUCAAAAAAGAAGAAAAGAAAGUGCAAAAAAAAGUGAAGUGAAAAAAAAAGUUGAGAAAGGUUCAGAGAGAAAGUCUGAAAGAUUAGUUGGUUUACGUGCACAAGUGCUGAAAGUUUCAUAUCAAGUUCUGCAGGCAGUUUGCUAUCUUUGUUUGGUGCAAAACUUUGGUUGGGUCUGAUUGCAACACUUGCAUCCCAAUCAUACUCCUUGUUUGCAUCAAAUCUGAAAUUUCUUUGCGUGUGUGUGAUCUAUUUAUACACUUCAAAUCUUUUGAUCAGCACUAGGCAGAGAACUUCUAGUUUGGAUCGUUACUUAACUUUACAACAACUAGAAUUCAGAUUACAUUCCUUUUGUAUUACUCCCCACCAAGCUCCACAUAAAAACCAUCAUAAUCGGUACUCUCUGUUCUUGUAUUCGCCUCGCCAUCAUUUUCAGUUGGCACCACACAUUUGUUUUCCUUGUAAUCUACAGCAGAAGAAUUCAUAAGAGCUUUGGUGGUUAGAGAGGUGAGUUGUAAGGUACAUGAGCACUUGUUGGAAAGCUUGACGAGUCUACUUUCCAUUGAUUCUAGUGGCGACCAGUUUGGAUACUCCAUAUUGCCUGCAGACAAGAAUUAGUACAGACUGCUCAGAAGGUCAACAGUCUGUCGUGACAGAAUGUUGGUACAACUUGCCAAGUAAAACUGUACCAAUCUACAAUGUUUCGUGUUGGUUGGCAUACAUUGCUGGAAAGCCCUUUGAGUCUAGUUUCACACCCAAGAAACAGUUCAUCAUUUCGACUUCCAAUAAAAAGUUAUGGUCAGUUUAUUGGAAACUGCUCUGGAGGCCA